RNA transcript from Drosophila willistoni, 741 nucleotides. RefSeq lists it as uncharacterized. Lineage: Eukaryota; Metazoa; Arthropoda; Insecta; Diptera; Drosophilidae. The record is from RefSeq and is a predicted model, not a curated record. The transcript has 3 exons.
UAGACACAAAUCUGGUAAUCUAUUAAAAUUUGGAUUUAUCUAGAUACUUAUAUUAAAAAUAUACGGAGCAGACCGAAAGAUCUCUCUAUCUAAAAAUCUAAUCUAAAAACUUCUUAAUAAUGGGUAAAACAAAGCCAUAUUGUGUUGUACACAUAUAUUUACAGUAUGGAAUCUUUAUCUUGUCAUAUGCAAAUGGAAAAGAUAUAUGUAUAUAGCGGUAAUGGUCAAACCAUUGGACAUUUAAAUGGAUGAGCAGUCAGUGGGGCAACCACGCACACAUAUGUCAUUCAACAAAGCAGGAACCCAGGAAUUCAGUGGUCUCCCCCACUGCCAUUUGCCCGCCCCUCCUGGAGCAUGGAGUGAAUCAAUGGUUUGGCUGUGCUUGUCAACACAAAAUGGACAGGUAUCAAUUAAUCUUACGCAUGGGUCUUGGCCUGAUGAUGAGGAGGCGAUAUGGAGCUGGAGGUGGAACAGGAGCAGGCGAUGGAACUGGAGCUGGAGCUGAUGUGGCUUAUCCUUAUCCAUAUCAAAAUUCAAUGUGCAUACAACGCACGCUCGCCAAGGCAAUUUGUUUGAUGGCGCUCUCUUUCUCUACGUCUGUCUGUCUCUCGUUCGCUGCGUGUCAGAGUCAGAGUUGACAAAAGAGAUGCCUGGGCAACCCAAAGGUCAGGGACAUAAAUUAAAGCAACGCGUACAGACACUAAAAGAGAAUCAGGAGGAGGAGUUAAAUUUCCAAAAAAG